This 1009-nucleotide ribosomal RNA is filed under the name Clonostachys krabiensis. RNAcentral describes it as "SSU rRNA". It matches the Rfam family "Eukaryotic small subunit ribosomal RNA", at positions 86 to 1106 of the family's 1831-position model. Lineage: Eukaryota; Fungi; Ascomycota; Sordariomycetes; Hypocreales; Bionectriaceae. The record is from RNAcentral.
ACUGCGAAUGGCUCAUUAUAUAAGUUAUCGUUUAUUUGAUAGUACCUUACUACUUGGAUAACCGUGGUAAUUCUAGAGCUAAUACAUGCUUAAAAUCCCGACUUCGGAAGGGAUGUAUUUAUUAGAUUAAAAACCAAUGCCCUUCGGGGCUCUCUGGUGAUUCAUGAUAACUUCUCGAAUCGCAUGGCCUUGCGCCGGCGAUGGUUCAUUCAAAUUUCUUCCCUAUCAACUUUCGAUGUUUGGGUAUUGGCCAAACAUGGUUGCAACGGGUAACGGAGGGUUAGGGCUCGACCCCGGAGAAGGAGCCUGAGAAACGGCUACUACAUCCAAGGAAGGCAGCAGGCGCGCAAAUUACCCAAUCCCGACUCGGGGAGGUAGUGACAAUAAAUACUGAUACAGGGUUCUUUUGGAUCUUGUAAUUGGAAUGAGUACAAUUUAAAUCCCUUAACGAGGAACAAUUGGAGGGCAAGUCUGGUGCCAGCAGCCGCGGUAAUUCCAGCUCCAAUAGCGUAUAUUAAAGUUGUUGUGGUUAAAAAGCUCGUAGUUGAACCUUGGGCCUGGCUGGCCGGUCCGCCUCACCGCGUGUACUGGUCCGGCCGGGCCUUUCCCUCUGUGGAACCCUAUGCCCUUCACUGGGUGUAGCGGGGAAACAGGACUUUUACUUUGAAAAAAUUAGAGUGCUCCAGGCAGGCCUUUGCUCGAAUACAUUAGCAUGGAAUAAUAAAAUAGGACGUGUGGUUCUAUUUUGUUGGUUUCUAGGACCGCCGUAAUGAUUAAUAGGGACAGUCGGGGGCAUCAGUAUUCAAUUGUCAGAGGUGAAAUUCUUGGAUUUAUUGAAGACUAACUACUGCGAAAGCAUUUGCCAAGGAUGUUUUCAUUAAUCAGGAACGAAAGUUAGGGGAUCGAAGACGAUCAGAUACCGUCGUAGUCUUAACCAUAAACUAUGCCGACUAGGGAUCGGACGAUGUUAAAAAUUGACUCGUUCGGCACUUACGAGAAAUCAAAGUGC